AUCUAACUGAUUAGUCCCAAAUAGGACGAAACGCGCGUCCUGGAU
This 45-nucleotide non-coding RNA is filed under the name Schistosoma mattheei. The record is from RNAcentral. Lineage: Eukaryota; Metazoa; Platyhelminthes; Trematoda; Strigeidida; Schistosomatidae.